GGCGGUCUCGGCCUGCCCUCCGGCCGCCGGCGCCGCGGGAGCCCUACGCUGUGCUCACGCGCUGCUCCUCGGGCUACCCUGGAAUCCUGCUGCCCUUUCCUAUUUCUAAAACGCCAUUGGGCUGGAAGCUGCCUCGAGUGGCCUCUGACCCUAGAGCCGUCUUAGAAAAACCGGAUACUCUGUACUGGGGAAGAGAAGCGAUCCUCACUGGCUCGCGGGGAUGUUAGCGACAGAUUUGUGGACGGAACUGUCCUCGGUAUCUUCAGAUAGGAAUCUGAAUCCAGAAGAGAAAAAGGCAGCUGCCCGAGUUUCCAAGAGCUUCCUGAUUGAUAGGUUCCAACUUUUCGGGUCACUGGAGUGCUUUCUGUUUUCCUACCAGCACACUAUGUUAAAUAGCCUAGUGAUACGGGAUUGACCCUUGACAGUUAAGGAUGACUUCUGGGAGAAUGCCAAGUGCUACAAAAUUAAGUGAACGAGACAGGGACGCCUUCUGGCACUUACCAGAUAUUUAAAUUGGCAAGGCAAUCAGGAGAAGUAUCACUCACUGGGAAGAAAUCAGGAAGUUAAGGAGCACAGGAUAAAGCUAUAUAAGGACGUCAAGCAGGAAACAGGAAGAGAAAAUUCCAAGCAUGAACCUAAAUCUAUCCCAAACCCUUUGAUGGUAUCUGGAAAUCACUUGCCAAGCAAAUAUCCCCAUAACCUAAAUCAAACAAGUGAAGUCCAUACAGAAACUCAUUAUGGUGUUGAGUGUGUUCUAGGUGAAUAGACUCUAAAUUAUGCAACUAAACAGGGCUCAUGUUACAAAAUUCCAGCUCAUUAAAUCAACAAACAAGGAUUAACUACCUGCUAUGAGUAAAUACAGUUAAGAUACAGAAAGGAAAACUUGGGAGCCUACAGCACAGUCCUUACACUCCACAGGGAUGAAGGCUGAAGGCAUAAUUGACUCUGAGCCAAUGCAGGAGCCAACAAGACAGAAUUAAUUUGUAUGAAUGUUGGGGUGGAGGAAAUAAUCCUGUUUGGAAGAUUUGGACGACCUCAUAGGAAAGAAACAUUUCAAUGUACCCUAAAGAAUUUAUAGGCUUAGCUUGGUGUGAAAGUCCUUAGGCCUGGCUGGAAUACCAGUCUGGCCCACUGAAGGAGAGAUCCUGAUGGAAGAAAGGAAAAG
Molecule: long non-coding RNA, 1165 nt
Filed under: Cricetulus griseus (Chinese hamster)
Lineage: Eukaryota; Metazoa; Chordata; Mammalia; Rodentia; Cricetidae
Description: lncRNA (ENSCGRG00015035986.1)
Source: RNAcentral